UACGGAGGGAGCUAGCGUUGUUCGGAAUUACUGGGCGUAAAGCGCGCGUAGGCGGCUUUGUAAGUUAGAGGUGAAAGCCCGGGGCUCAACCCCGGAACUGCCUUUAAGACUGCAUCGCUUGAAUCCGGGAGAGGUGAGUGGAAUUCCGAGUGUAGAGGUGAAAUUCGUAGAUAUUCGGAAGAACACCAGUGGCGAAGGCGGCUCACUGGACCGGUUCUGACGCUGAGGAGCGAAAGCGUGGGUAGCAAACAGG
RNAcentral lists this ribosomal RNA (253 nucleotides) under uncultured bacterium. RNAcentral's name for it is "partial 16S ribosomal RNA". It matches the Rfam family "Bacterial small subunit ribosomal RNA", at positions 524 to 776 of the family's 1533-position model. The record is from RNAcentral.